RNAcentral lists this ribosomal RNA (1292 nucleotides) under Escherichia coli. RNAcentral describes it as "partial 23S ribosomal RNA". It matches the Rfam family "Bacterial large subunit ribosomal RNA", at positions 1 to 1327 of the family's 2925-position model. Lineage: Bacteria; Pseudomonadati; Pseudomonadota; Gammaproteobacteria; Enterobacterales; Enterobacteriaceae. The record is from RNAcentral.
UUGUGAGGUUAAGCGACUAAGCGUACACGGUGGAUGCCCUGGCAGUCAGAGGCGAUGAAGGACGUGCUAAUCUGCGAUAAGCGUCGGUGAGGUGAUAUGAACCGUUAUAACCGGCGAUUUCCGAAUGGGGAAACCCAGUGUGUUUCGACACACUAUCAUUAACUGAAUCCAUAGGUUAAUGAGGCGAACCGGGGGAACUGAAACAUCUAAGUACCCCGAGGAAAAGAAAUCAACCGAGAUUCCCCCAGUAGCGGCGAGCGAACGGGGAGGAGCCCAGAGCCUGAAUCAGUGUGUGUGUUAGUGGAAGCGUCUGGAAAGGCGCGCGAUACAGGGUGACAGCCCCGUACACAAAAAUGCACAUAUUGUGAGCUCGAUGAGUAGGGCGGGACACGUGGUAUCCUGUCUGAAUAUGGGGGGACCAUCCUCCAAGGCUAAAUACUCCUGACUGACCGAUAGUGAACCAGUACCGUGAGGGAAAGGCGAAAAGAACCCCGGCGAGGGGAGUGAAAAAGAACCUGAAACCGUGUACGUACAAGCAGUGGGAGCCUCUUAAUGGGGUGACUGCGUACCUUUUGUAUAAUGGGUCAGCGACUUAUAUUCUGUAGCAAGGUUAACCGAAUAGGGGAGCCGAAGGGAAACCGAGUCUUAACUGGGCGUUAAGUUGCAGGGUAUAGACCCGAAACCCGGUGAUCUAGCCAUGGGCAGGUUGAAGGUUGGGUAACACUAACUGGAGGACCGAACCGACUAAUGUUGAAAAAUUAGCGGAUGACUUGUGGCUGGGGGUGAAAGGCCAAUCAAACCGGGAGAUAGCUGGUUCUCCCCGAAAGCUAUUUAGGUAGCGCCUCGUGAAUUCAUCUCCGGGGGUAGAGCACUGUUUCGGCAAGGGGGUCAUCCCGACUUACCAACCCGAUGCAAACUGCGAAUACCGGAGAAUGUUAUCACGGGAGACACACGGCGGGUGCUAACGUCCGUCGUGAAGAGGGAAACAACCCAGACCGCCAGCUAAGGUCCCAAAGUCAUGGUUAAGUGGGAAACGAUGUGGGAAGGCCCAGACAGCCAGGAUGUUGGCUUAGAAGCAGCCAUCAUUUAAAGAAAGCGUAAUAGCUCACUGGUCGAGUCGGCCUGCGCGGAAGAUGUAACGGGGCUAAACCAUGCACCGAAGCUGCGGCAGCGACGCUUAUGCGUUGUUGGGUAGGGGAGCGUUCUGUAAGCCUGUGAAGGUGUGCUGUGAGGCAUGCUGGAGGUAUCAGAAGUGCGAAUGCUGACAUAAGUAACGAUAAAGCGGGUGAAAA